CAACAGUCCUUAGAACGUUGUUUCAUGCUUCUACUGUGCAUGGGGAGAGAAUAAGAGCAUAUGGAGUCAGAUGACUGAGAAAAUGACAUGAGCUCAAUUGCGCGUGCUCCCAUGAGAGUUAGGUGUGUUCCUUUUCCUUUCUGAAGACAAAGGAAUUGUCUGGUUGGAAUAUUAUGGAAGAUUUAUGAUAAAAACAUCCCAAAGAUUGAUUCUAUAUAUCGUUUGACGUUUCUACGAACUGUAAUAUAACUUUGACUUUUUGUCUGAACUUACUGCGCGAGCACAGUGCAUUUGGAUUACUCGACUGAACGCGUGAACAAAAAGGAGGUAUUUGGACAUAAAGGAUGGACUUUAUCAAACAAAACGUACAUGUAUUGUGUAACAUGAAGUCCUAUGAGUGUCAUCUGAUGAAGAUCAUCAAAGGGUUUGCAGAAUGUUGCGGUCACGGAGGGGAGGAAAGGGUGAAACACAGCGCUCUCUGGCCAACAGCAGAGGAAGAAGGUGGUUAGAAUCAGGUCUUUUGGCUCUGCUGAUCUUCCUCUGGGGAGGAAGGACGUUUCCAUGGCCAGAAAAUGAGGAAGAGGAAGAGACAUCUCUCCGGAAGAUAAAACAAACACUCCACCCUUGAGACCUCACAGUGUAACACCAUCUGAGACUGUUGUUCCUGUGCAACAUCUGAAACACACACUGUCUCUUCACACACAGAGACGGGAGAUCAGUUGGUGGGUGGAUGGCCUGUCUGUGUCUUACGAGGGCUCUAUUUCUCUGGGAGCCCACUGUAUAUCUGCGAGAAGUGAAAAAGAUAUGAGAGGGUGGAUACUGCAGCCAUGGGGUGACUGACAGUACCUGCCUGCGGAGGCACCCCAUGC
RNAcentral lists this long non-coding RNA (869 nucleotides) under Salmo salar (Atlantic salmon). RNAcentral's name for it is "lncRNA (ENSSSAG00000082298.1)". The record is from RNAcentral. Lineage: Eukaryota; Metazoa; Chordata; Actinopteri; Salmoniformes; Salmonidae.